GCUCAGCGGAGGCACCUGUUGAUUCUAACCCAUCUACAGUAGAUUAUCAAAGGGUUUUGAGUAACACAGUUUUAUGUCCUAAUCUGUAGGGAAGAAGAAGUCAAAAUGAUCAGCCUCCUUUUUUUCUGUUGCUUUGCAGGAGGCUGUCUGGGUAUAGAGAUCCAUCAGGAUCCCUCUGCUCUCAUCCGGAGCCCUGGAGACAAAGUGCAUCUUGUCUGCACCCAUGAACAAACUGAAUACAGAGUGAUGCUCUGGUACCAGCAGCCACCUGGACAGACAGAUAUGAAGCUUAUUGGAUAUGUGAACUAUAACGAUGUCAGUGUGGAAGAGCCAUAUAAGCAGCAGUUCACCAUCAGUGGAGAUCUGAGUAGGAGCGAUGCAAAAAAUGUCUCUCUGAUAUUCCAGCUGGCUGCUGAGGACAGUGCAGUGUACUACUGUGCAGCUCGCUAUGCACGUUGAUACAAAGUCUCUCCGAAGUUUACAAAAACUACACUCACUUUCAGCAUUGGUGGUUUUGUACA
This is a non-coding RNA of Micropterus salmoides (largemouth bass), 521 nucleotides long. The record is from the annotation of a RefSeq genome assembly. NCBI's taxonomy places the organism in Eukaryota, Metazoa, Chordata, Actinopteri, Centrarchiformes, Centrarchidae.